UCCGACGUAGUUAAUCCGCGCACUCACCAGCUGCCUGAUUAUGCCAUCGCUGAACUCCGUCGUGUUGCUGGAUUCCCUAGAUCCGAUGUCGAUGCCGAUGUGAGGAUAGCUCGGAUCCCACGGGUUGUUGACAAAAGUGUCAAACUCGACGGCGAAGACCGAUGGGCAUUUCCGGAGACUCCGAAGAUUCCGAGGUUGCCCCCGCUGCCGCCGUUGGGGAUGGUGGAGCCGACGGGGGCCAUGAAGAAGGUGAUGCCGUCAGCGGUGAGGUUGGUGGGGCUGGGUGUGAUUAUGAAGUUUACGGUGGUUUCAAAGUCGACUUGGCCGCCGGCUUGGGAGAACUGGACCGGGUUCGAGUGCAAGACCCGGCCGACACUGCCUAUCGUCGGGAAGGUGAGGCGGAGGAAGGGGGAGUUCCAUACGAAAUGGGCGUGGCCUUGGUAGGUGAGAUCGGUCGGCAAGUCGCUCCAGAAGUCGUAGGUGAAGGACGUCGAUUGGGACUGCGCAGUGUUGGCGGCAGCGGCGAGGAGGAGGAUGAUGGAGGAGAGGAGAGGAAUUAGGGUUUGGAGGAGCUUAGCCAUGGCUUAAUUGAGUAUAUUUAGAUGUGGUGGAUGAUGGUGGUAUCUCUUGCUCCUAUUUAUAGUGAAUAGUGUAUAGAGUAUAGUGUAUAUAUGCAUGAUAUUAUGAUUUAAUUUCCUAUGAAUUAUUGAACUUUCAUCAAAUUUUUAUUUUAUAUAUAAACUUCAAAUUAAAUGUAGCGUGAUAAUCACUAAAUUUAUUUAAUCUUAUAUUUGCUACCAAUCAGGAUUCUAGCCAAAUUNAAUAUAUUGGUGUGGGUCCGUGGACGUAGGCAGUUUGGCCGAACCACGUUAAAAAUAUCGGUGUCAUUUUUCUUCUCGUUUCAUAUCGGUCGAUAUCCACAAUAUUGAGUCACACUUGAUCCCGGGCGGAAUUAGUUGUGUCUAAUUUCCCAAUAACAAUCCUGGGCGGAAUUAUUGGCGUCUAUAAUUCCCAACAACAAUAUCAUGGAUGGCGACGUAUGGUUGGCUUAGUCCGCUGGCGGCGGAGAGCCCUACCUGAACCUGCUCGGGAAGAAAGCCGCUCAAAUCGUACUCAUAGAUGACCUCAAACGUCUUCGAGCCGGCGGUGGCACUGACGGUGAUCAUCUUCGUGGCUCCGACGUAGUUGAUCCGCGCAGUCACCUGCUGUCCGACUAAGGCGCCGUCGACCUCUGUCGUGUUGCGGGAUUCCCUAGAUCCGAUGUCGAUACCGAUGUGGGGGUAGUUCGGAUCCCACGGGCUGUUGACAUAGGUGUCAAACUCGACGGCGAAGACAGAUGGGCUAUUUCCGGGAGACUCCGAAGAUUCCGAGGUUGCCCCCGCUGCCGCCGUUGGGGAUGGUGGAGCCGACGGGGGCCAUGAAGAAGGUGAUGCCGUCAGCGGUGAGGUUGGUGGGGCUGGGUGUGAUUAUGAAGUUUACGGUGGUUUCAAAGUCGACUUGGCCGCCGGCUUGGGAGAACUGGACCGGGUUCGAGUGCAAGACCCGGCCGACACUGCCUAUCGUCGGGAAGGUGAGGCGGAGGAAGGGGGAGUUCCAUACGAAAUGGGCGUGGCCUUGGUAGGUGAGAUCGGUCGGCAAGUCACUCCAGAAGUCGUAG
This 1657-nucleotide long non-coding RNA is filed under the name Salvia miltiorrhiza (redroot sage). Its description in RNAcentral is "long non-coding RNA (SMIL_LNC011427)". The record is from RNAcentral. Lineage: Eukaryota; Viridiplantae; Streptophyta; Magnoliopsida; Lamiales; Lamiaceae.